This 4981-nucleotide long non-coding RNA is filed under the name Sus scrofa (pig). RNAcentral's name for it is "lncRNA (ENSSSCG00025055799.1)". Lineage: Eukaryota; Metazoa; Chordata; Mammalia; Artiodactyla; Suidae. The record is from RNAcentral.
UUUUUUUUUUUUUUUGGUCUUUUUAGGGCCACACCUGAGGCAUGUGGAGGUUCCCAGGCUAGGGGUCUAAUCAGAGCUGUAGUUGCCGGCCUAUACCACAGCCACAGCAAUGCAGGAUCUGAGCCAUGUCUGUGACCUACACCACAGCUCAUGGCAAUGCUGGAACCUUAACCCACUGAGCGAGGUCAGGGAUCGAACUUGCGUCCUCAUGGAUGCUAGUCAUAUUCGUUUCUGCUGAGGCACGACAGGAACUCCUAUCAUAUCCUUUUGUAACAUGCCUGUAAACACAAGUAAACUCUUUUUCUAGGUUCUGCGAGUUGCCCUAGCAAAUCAAUCAAACUCAGGGAGGGAGAGGUUGGAACCUCCAAUCUACAGCUGGUUGGUCAGAAGCACAGAUGACAACCUGGGCUGGUGACUGGCAUCUGAAGUAUAUAUGUGUGGAGUUCCCGUCAUGGCUCAGUGGUUAACGAAUCCAACUAGGAACCAUGAGGUUGCGGGUUCAAUCCCUGACCUUGCCCAUUGGGUUAAGGAUCCGGCGUUGACGUGAGCUUUGGUGUAGGUCGCAGACAUGGCUCGGAUCCCGUGUUGCUGUGGCUGUGGUGUAGGCCUGCGGCUGCAGCUCUGAUUCGACCCCUAGCUGGGAACCUCCACAUGCCGCGAGAGUGGCCCUAGAAAAGGCAAAAAGACAAAAAAGAUAAAAACGAAGUGUGUGUGUGUGUGUGUGCUUGUGCCUGUGUGGGCGGGGGUGGGAGACAGGGGAACAGUCUAGUAGGAUGAAGCCUUUACCCUGUGGAAUCUGAUGCUAUCUCUGAAUAGCGUCAGAACUGAGUUAAAUUAUAGGACACCCAGCUGGUGUCUCGGAGACUUGCUUGUUGUUGUGGGGAAAAUCUUCCACACAUUUAGUGGCCAAAGUGUCAGAACUGAAGUGUCAGAAAUGAAGUGUUCUGUGUGACUGGUAAAGGACACACAGGAAGAUACACACAGGUGGAAAACAGAGUUUCUCCAUCUCUGUGUUCCCCCUGGAAGACCACUGCCUGGGUAAUCUCUCAGGCCCCUGAAUCCCUCCUACUUCUCCAUCCUCUUAGCUUGUGUUCGGGCCCCAUGGCACCUUCUCUGGCACCUACCUCCUGUGUGCUUUCCUGGCUCCACAGUGAUGUUCUUUUUCUUUUCUUUUCUUUUCUUUUCUUUUCUUUUCUUUUCUUUUCUUUUCUUUUCUUUUCCAGGGCAGCACAUGUGGCAUAUGGAAGUUCCCAGGCUAGGGGUUGAAUCGAAGCUGCAGCUGCCAGCCUAUGCUAUACCAGCAACACCAGAUCCCAGUCGUGCCUGCAACCUACAUGGCAGUUUGUUGGCAGCAAUGGAUCCUUAACCCACUGAGCAAGGCCAGGGAUCAAAACUUCAUCCUCAUGGAUACUAGUCAGAUUUGUUUCCCCUGAACCAGGACGGGAACUCCACAGUGACUUUCUGAGGGUCAGUUCACUCCUUUUCCUCUUUUCCAGCCAGCAUCUUAAAACUCAGCCUGAGUCUAGUGCAAAACCAACCAAAAAAACCACAGUAAACAAAACAUUUGUUUUAAGAAUACUUGCUUACAAGAGUUCACAUCGUGGCACAGUGGAAACAAAUCUGACUAGGAACCAUAAGGUUGCGGGUUCAAUCCCUUGCCUUGAUCAGGGGGUCAAGGAUCCAGCGUUGCCAUGAGCUGUGGCGUAGGCCGGCGGCUACAGCUCCGAUUCGACUCCUGGCCUGGGAACCUCCAUGUGCUGCAGGUGCGGCCCUAAAAAGACAAAAAGACCAAAACAAACAAACAAACAAACCAAAACCAAAAAAAACAAAACAAAACAAAAAAAGAGAAUACUUGCUGAUAAAUGAACCUAUCUACAAAACAAAAAGAGACUCACAGGCAAAGAGAAUAGACUCCUGGUUGUCAAGGGGGUGGGGAGGAAGUGGGAUGGAUGGGGAGUUUGGGGUUGGUAGAUGCAAACUGUUAUAAUUAGAAUGGAUAAGCAAUAAGACCUUACUGUACGGCACAGGGGACUAUAUCCAGUCUCUUGGGAUAGACCAUGGAAGACAGUAUGAGAAAAAGAAUGCAUAUAUAUGUACGACUGGGUCACUAUGCUGUAUAGCAGAAAUUGACCCAACACUGUAAAUCAACCAUACCCUAAUAAAAAAUAAAUUUGGGGAGUUGCCAUCAUGGCUCAGUGGAAAUGAAUCUGGCUAGCAUCCAUGAGGACACAGGUUCGAUCCCUGGCCUUACUCAGUGGGUUAAGGAUCUGGCAUUGCUGUGAGCUGUGGUGUAGAUCACAGACACGGAUCUGGCACUGCUCUGAAAUAUUCCUCAUACUAAAGAUAUGCUGUAGUCAAUUUUAUCCUCAUUUUACAAACAAGGAGACUAGGGACCGAGGGGUUUAGAAUAAAAGCCCACACUGCUCUGAUUCCCAAAUUUCAUGGUUUUAACCAAGAUGCUUCCUAAUAGCAAGUACUCAAAAAUUGACCAUUUAUGGCUCCUGUGAUGCUCCAAGAGUCAUUGCCUUCCUGUGUUCCCCACAUCCAUCCACUCUCCUUGAUCUUCCUCUUUUUGCUUUUCCCACUUUUCUUUAGGUGAACAGAGGUCUUAGAGCACUGCAUUAUUUCUCCCAGGGUUAAAAAGCUCAGCAUACCCUGGCCUAGUGGGAAGAAUAUUCAGUAUUUGGACUUGUUUCCAAUGUCACAUUCCAUCUCCGGAUGAUUUUUUCCAUGAAGCCCACACAGAGUAAUUACUAUCAAAUAGUAAGACAAAUACUUCAAUAAUUAACACCUGGAAAGGAGCCAGCCAACUGGCAUCAAAGCCAGACAGACUCAGUGCAAUUUGGUUUCCUCGAGCUGGACAAAUAAUAAUGAAGAAAAGAACAUUUAGUCACCACUGGAGUAUUUGGGCGUUAGUAGGGUGAUAAAAUCUGGACAAUACCAAAGAUGGGUGAUAGGAAAUUGGAAGUAACACUGUAGACAAGGACAGCUGAGCUGAAGUGACACAUGCAUUGGAGAUGGGACAUAGUGGAAAAUGUGAUGGGGCCCCUGGACAAAGAAGGCUUUAUAUGGUUGAAAACCACAGAUUUCACUGAGCUUUCUUAGGUUCUGUGUUGGCAGUCAAAUGGGGCAUUGGAUUAACUAACAAUUAUUCUGAAAUCGGUUUUAUUCCAAUCGGGCUGGCUGUACCCAUGGGCGUGAUGAACUGCGUUGGGGAAUGAAUGGAAAGUUCCACUUUCAGAAAUGCCCAAUCCUAAUGCUUCAAAUUUCCCCCACUACUUACCCUUCCGGAUUGGAGCCCCCGGGGCGUCUUAUUAUAACUCGUACCUUAUGAACAUGCUGGAGAAUUCACCAAAGGAAAAGCCAGUAACCUUUCCCUCUCCCACCAAGCAAGCUGUUGCAUGACCUAAGCACGACCAGCUAGGGAGUAGGACACACCCACCUGCCAGGUCACCCAUGUCAGUCCAGCCUAUCAAGAUGAUGACAGCCAGUUCACAGCAAGAGGGGCCAUGUCCUUACAGCACUGCUCCAUCAUGGAGCAGCAUUACUACCAGCUUGGUUUUGGAUUUUUUGCAUUUCAAAGUGUUUCUGCAAAGUUUUCUCAGGUUGAUGGAGAUACAACAGAAAAGAAAAUAAACCUUCCAUUUCAAUGAGCACAGGAUGUACCCACACAUCUUCCCAAAAGUAUGCAAAGUAGUCUUUGAAGAUGGUAUUGGCUCAAUGAAAUGCAUUAAUAAACCUAAAAUCAUUAAUGUGUUUUAAUAUGAGUGAGUCAUAAGAUACGCCCUCUUCCCCCAAAGCCUUCAUUUUCCCACCCACUUACAUCCUUUAUUUCCUCCCUAUCCCUUUCUUUUAAGUUUUUUCCCCCCUCAUUAAAAAUUACUCACAGGUCGGGAGUUCCCUUCAUGGCUCAGUGGUUAAUGGGACUGACUAGUAUCCAUGAGGACUCAGGUUCAAUCCCUGGCCUUGCUCAAUGAUUUAAGAAUCCAGCAUUGCCGUGAGCUGUGGUGUCAGCCACAGUCGGGGCUCAGAUCCCGCGUUGUUGUGGCUGUGGCAUAGGCCAUUGGCUGUAGCUCCGAUUGGACCCCUGGCCUGGGAACCUCCAUAUGCCCCCGGUGUGGCCCUAAAAAGACAAAAAAAAAAUUACUUAUAAGUUUGUAGCAAGCAUUGAGGUCUAUAGGAAACUGCCAUAAACUGGAGAACUAAAUGCCAGGAAAAAGAGAGGAGUUUGGGGGGAAAAAAUUAUUUGAAGCAAACAGAGCAAAAGUGGCAAAGAACGGGUUUGAGAGCAAAGUGCCCCAAGACCCAAGUUUGAGUCUGUGGUUCAUGUCUGAUAUUAAAUGGACUUUGUAAGCAGCCAGCCAUCUAAUGUAUAGACAUUCAUGUUUGAAAUAUCAGUAGAUCUAGAACAAGUGGCUAUUCGAAGAAGAUAAAUAUUAGAGAUGACAAUGAAAUUCAUAGCUACUGGGCAAACGACUCUCAGGAAAAAUGGCAAAGAGCAAGUAUCCUGGCAUUUAAUGAAAUUGCUGAUUAUUCCACUAGGCAAGCUGUCAAAUGAUGCUUUCAGAGUCUGUUUCAUCAAGGCUUGGAUAGAUAGGAUCCAUGGGAAAGUUGCUGGAGGGAAGAGAUUGCUAGACAGAGGAUUAGGAAAGCUGGUCCCUGUGGAGCAGGGUUUGGAAAAGGAUCUGUAAGGAAGAGGCAGGGGUGAUCAGACAGGAAGGAUGUGGGAGGCUCUUUCUCGGGGUGGGGGCGAGAACAGGGAUGUCCUGAGGAACAAGGGAGAGGUCAAGAGUGUGUCUGGCUGGGAAAAAAAUGAGAAAAGGAGCCAGAUGAGAGCGCCACAACCUCAUGCGCAAACGCAGAGAAGGGCGGGGCUUCAUGAGCAGGAAAGAGAGGUGUUCCCGGGGUUGGGGGUGGAGGGGACCAGGAAGCCUGGAGAGUGAGAUUGUUCCAGAAGCAGCAUUUGGCCUCAAAACCCCGG